Molecule: ribosomal RNA, 460 nt
Filed under: uncultured bacterium
Lineage: Bacteria
Description: partial 16S ribosomal RNA
Rfam family: Bacterial small subunit ribosomal RNA
Source: RNAcentral
CCUACGGGUGGCAGCAGUGAGGAAUAUUUGUCAAUGGACGAGAGUCUGAACCAGCCAAGUAGCGUGAAGGAUGACUGCCCUAUGGGUUGUAAACUUCUUUUAUAUGGGAAUAAAAUGUUCCACGUGUGGGAUUUUGUAUGUACCAUAUGAAUAAGGAUCGGCUAACUCCGUGCCAGCAGCCGCGGUAAUACGGAGGAUCCGAGCGUUAUCCGGAUUUAUUGGGUUUAAAGGGAGCGUAGGUGGAUUGUUAAGUCAGUUGUGAAAGUUGGCGGCUCAACCGUAAAAUUGCAGUUGAAACUGGCAGUCUUGAGUACAGUAGAGGUGGGCGGAAUUCGUGGUGUAGCGGUGAAAUGCUUAGAUAUCACGAAGAACUCCGAUUGCGAAGGCAGUUCACUGGACUGCAACUGACACUGAGGCUCGAAAGUGUGGGUAUCAAACAGGAUUAGAUACCCGUGUAGUC